GAUAGAGACAGCAGCGAGACUGGGAGGACAUUCACUGAUAAACUCUGAACCCUCACAAUGAGAACAUUCAGACUUUGUAGUCAGAGAUGAGCUGCUCUCAUUCAGCACCCAGCAGGCCACAACGGUAUGCAUUUUACCACUUUGACAACGUAACUUGACAUUUAACCGAGGGCACGGAGAGCAGCACAGGUCAUGAGAGAGGCUGGUACGAACACUGGAUUAAGUCUAGGUUGCAAAGCUGGAUUGGGUUGCUCCGCCUGUGUUUCGGGAUGAGACUUGGGCUUGAACAUGUACGGCUAACCUGAAGCCAUGGUUACAGCUGAAGCAACUUUGUUUUGGAUCACACUACCUUGCUUGUCUGGACCCACCCUACUCUGCUUCUGAUUGGCUAGUAGUCCUUACCUGGGAACUGUGCAUGUGCAACUCCAAACACAUAAAAGUGAAUUGUUUCACUCUGUAGCUAAAACGGAGCAUUCAACACAGUGUGAAAAGAGGUGCUGCAGCAAUGUGCAGUCUGACAAAAAUAUGGUGUUUCUUGUAAAUUACACGAUAUAAACCUAUUUUGGUUCAACCCCUGAAUAAAUUAUGAACCUGAAAAUUA
Molecule: long non-coding RNA, 601 nt
Organism: Micropterus dolomieu (smallmouth bass)
Lineage: Eukaryota; Metazoa; Chordata; Actinopteri; Centrarchiformes; Centrarchidae
Exons: 3
Source: RefSeq, a predicted model, not a curated record